Molecule: ribosomal RNA, 385 nt
Filed under: uncultured bacterium
Lineage: Bacteria
Description: bacterial SSU rRNA
Rfam family: Bacterial small subunit ribosomal RNA
Source: RNAcentral
AUUGAACGCUGGCGGCAUGCCUUACACAUGCAAGUCGAACGGCAGCACGGGGGCAACCCUGGUGGCGAGUGGCGAACGGGUGAGUAAUACAUCGGAACGUGCCCAGUAGUGGGGGAUAGCCCGGCGAAAGCCGGAUUAAUACCGCAUACGACCUACGGGUGAAAGCGGGGAUCGCAAGACCUCGCGCUAUUGGAGCGGCCGAUGUCAGAUUAGGUUGUUGGUGGGGUAAAGGCCUACCAAGCCUACGAUCUGUAGCUGGUCUGAGAGGACGACCAGCCACACUGGGACUGAGACACGGCCCAGACUCCUACGGGAGGCAGCAGUGGGGAAUUUUGGACAAUGGGGGCAACCCUGAUCCAGCCAUGCCGCGUGCGGGAAGAAGGCC